Molecule: ribosomal RNA, 303 nt
Filed under: uncultured bacterium
Lineage: Bacteria
Description: partial 16S ribosomal RNA
Rfam family: Bacterial small subunit ribosomal RNA
Source: RNAcentral
AGCAGUCGCCGCGGGAAUACGUAGGGUGCAAGCGUUAAUCGGAAUUACUGGGCGUAAAGCGUGCGCAGGCGGUUUGUUAAGACAGAUGUGAAAUCCCCGGGCUCAACCUGGGAACUGCAUUUGUGACUGGCAAGCUAGAGUAUGGCAGAGGGGGGUGGAAUUCCGCGUGUAGCAGUGAAAUUCGUAGAUAUUCGGAAGAACACCAGUGGCGAAGGCGGCUUACUGGCUCAUUCUAGACGCUGAGGUGCGAAAGCGUGGGGAGCAAACAGGAUUAGAUACCCCUGUAGUCCCUGUCUCUUAUAC